UCACCAAAACAUUGUUUUGUGACUAGCUGGUACAGCGGGCUCUGAGUGGCUUGGUGGCCAACUUGACAUCUUUUUGGUUAUGAAAUGUAUGUGGAAAUUAAAAAAUAAAUCUUACAGACAGGUACUGUGGGAUUACUGACAGUUCUCUUCCUCUGUCCCACUUUUACAGUAGGGAUGGUUGUGGAAUUGACUCUUCCAAUGGAGAAAUAAGAGAAAGACUGGGCUUUCUUUGUUUGAUUUGAAGCCUUUUAGUGCAGUGCUAAAUGUACAUGAAGCAGAGGGAAGAGAGCAAAGCAGGUGAGAGUAGUUUCUGUUUCAGGUGUUAAAUCCACUCCCUACACCCCUGCUGAGGUGGGAGGGAUGGAACACAGGAUUCUCUCAGGCUGACACAAGGACCUUGUUUCAGUUUUCUGCAAACAGAUUUGGAAUUUUCACUUGGAAAACGGAAGGUGAAGAUGAUUCCCAACUUGUAAAUUUAAACUCCUCCUGGUAGCAUGGAGAAUGUGCUGUGAGCAAGAACUUGAGGUCACUCACAUGCUGGAAGUGCAGCUCAGAUGAAAUGCUGCAGAAACCCUGGAGGAGCUCUGCAGUGCCAGAGGCAGAGGGCAGAAUGAACGGGAUAAAAACUUCUUUGUGUAAAAUUCUGCCAUGGUGAGGGAUGGAUGGGGUCUGGACUGGAGAAGCAGAGUCCAGCAAUUUGUAUCAUCUCUGCAAUAUGUAUGGUGCAGCUUUGGACGUUCCUAAUGUGCCACAGAUGGUCUGGUUGGGCUGCAGGACUGCCAAAACUCCUACUGAGGCCAUGUCCUGGACAGAAGUAUUCUGUGAAGGUUACAGCCAGCAGGAUUAUGCAAACCACAACUAACUCAGAACAGAUUCUUUACAUCCAGAUAGCUCCAGUGAGAUGUCAGCACUCAUAGCCACUCUCCCCAGCAUUAAUUCAGAUUUACAGCUGCAUUUUGUGCUUACAGAUGUAUGUAUAAUGUACACAGAGCUGUGCAAAAUGUGAUUUCUUUGUCAUCCUGCCCACGGGGGCUCUCCAGGUGAGGUUCAAACACUCUUUGAAGGGUUCUUGCCAGAGGCAAAGCUCUUCCCCUCCAAAGUGUGGCAGCUCAGCACAAAAGCCUGGUCAGUUGUCAAGGGGAAAGAGCUCCAUUUCUGGGAUGAGAAAGAGCAAACAGAAAGAAUUAAUCAAUAUUUCAGAAGUUUUCAAUGGGAAUAUAUGUGCUGAUGAAUUUGAAUGGAUGUGUGCAUUUUUUCCUAGGAGUUUUGCUCGUGGUUGGUUUUGGUGCUCAGUCCAGUGUUGUACUAAUGCCCAUUACCAUUGAAACGCUCUUGAAAUGUCUGAGGAAAGGAAAUAUUGACUCAGGCAGAAUGUAGAAAAGGUUUUGUGUUUUUCCAGCUUCCUAGAUGUGUUUUAGGUGGAAAUAAUCAUCCCGUUAUUAAUUCAUAACUUGUUUCUUUCUACAACCCGUGGAAAUAAUAGAUAAACAUUAGCCAGAAGUCAAAUUGCUUUGUGUGCUGCAGAGAUUUUUUCCUAGAGUUUAAUUGUUCUUAUUUUAGAUGUUCUUUCUUUUGCAUCAUUUGAUCCUAUUAAAAUUUGCUAUCCUAAAAUACCAUUUUAAAAGGAUUUGACAACAAAAGAAAUACGAGCUCCACUGUGUUUAUCCCUGCUGAGACAUGUAUUGCUCUCAUCUUAAUGCAGGAUUUAAUUUCACAUGCUUUACUUUAUGCCAAGUCAGAGCAAAUAAAUAUCUUGUUCCGUUAUAAUCUGUCCUGGGCCUUUUGUUUCUAAUGGAUCAAAAUUCCUCAUUCUAAGGCAAAAGAAAAAAAAAAAAAAAGUGUGAGGGGGGAAACAGAAGUAUUUAAUUCAAAAAAUAUGAGCACCUUCCAAAGGAAUAGCACAGAUGUAAUAAUAAAAAAAGGGAAACAGAAAGAAAAAUCUACUUUUGGGAGAGACAAUAAAUGUCUAAAGAGGCCUUGCUUUCUGCACUUUGGAUAUCAGAAAAGUGACGGAAAAUGCAAGGAGAGGUGCAGCUCAAAUCUUGCACUCCCACACUUCAUCUUUCUCUUAACAUGAAAAUGAACAAAUUCUUUUGCAGUUGUUGAUUUCAAAGUUCUGUUUUCUCACUUCUCUUUGAUCCUGGUUUAGACGCUGAGAGGCUUUUUGCAUAAAUAGAACUGUUAAUUGUUAAUAAUUAACUAAUAUUCACAAAUAAAUAGAAGGAAAACAUAGAAUUGUUUUAAUUAGGACCUUUAUGAAAGAGAGAAGGCAGCAUAAUUAAUUUACCUGUAAGUUAAUUUGCAGAGUGAUUGCUCUCUGAUAGGGUAAAUAGGAUUGUGGAGCUGGAAACCCAUUUCCUAUGCUUUAGGCCAUUAUUUUUUUCAGUUAAAAUUGCUAUCCUUGGCAUACUGAAAGCAUGGAGUUGAAGAUAUUAAGAUCAAAUUAAAUGCUUUCAUGAGCAAGUUCUUCAAAGUAUUUCAUACCUCAAGUCUUUAUUUUUAGACCAGAUUGAAAUGUCACAAAAGAGGCAGCUCUAGUUCCCCUGUCCAUAUAAACCUCCAUUACUUACAAGCUACAAAAUAAAUGAG
Molecule: long non-coding RNA, 2589 nt
Organism: Passer domesticus (house sparrow)
Lineage: Eukaryota; Metazoa; Chordata; Aves; Passeriformes; Passeridae
Exons: 4
Source: RefSeq, a predicted model, not a curated record